This 1055-nucleotide ribosomal RNA is filed under the name Kocuria salina. RNAcentral's name for it is "bacterial SSU rRNA". It matches the Rfam family "Bacterial small subunit ribosomal RNA", at positions 48 to 1116 of the family's 1533-position model. Lineage: Bacteria; Bacillati; Actinomycetota; Actinomycetes; Micrococcales; Micrococcaceae. The record is from RNAcentral.
UACUUACCAUGCAGUCGACGAUGAUGCCCAGCUUGCUGGGCGGAUUAGUGGCGAACGGGUGAGUAAUACGUGAGUAACCUGCCCCUGACUCUGGGAUAAGCCUGGGAAACCGGGUCUAAUACUGGAUACGACUCCUCAUCGCAUGGUGGGGGGUGGAAAGGGUUCACUGGUUUUGGAUGGGCUCACGGCCUAUCAGCUUGUUGGUGGGGUAAUGGCUCACCAAGGCGACGACGGGUAGCCGGCCUGAGAGGGUGACCGGCCACACUGGGACUGAGACACGGCCCAGACUCCUACGGGAGGCAGCAGUGGGGAAUAUUGCACAAUGGGCGAAAGCCUGAUGCAGCGACGCCGCGUGAGGGAUGACGGCCUUCGGGUUGUAAACCUCUUUCAGUAGGGAAGAAGCGCAAGUGACGGUACCUGCAGAAGAAGCGCCGGCUAACUACGUGCCAGCAGCCGCGGUAAUACGUAGGGCGCAAGCGUUGUCCGGAAUUAUUGGGCGUAAAGAGCUCGUAGGCGGUUUGUCGCGUCCGCUGUGAAAGCCCGGGGCUCAACCCCGGGUCGGCAGUGGGUACGGGCAGACUAGAGUGCAGUAGGGGAGACUGGAAUUCCUGGUGUAGCGGUGAAAUGCGCAGAUAUCAGGAGGAACACCGAUGGCGAAGGCAGGUCUCUGGGCUGUUACUGACGCUGAGGAGCGAAAGCAUGGGGAGCGAACAGGAUUAGAUACCCUGGUAGUCCAUGCCGUAAACGUUGGGCACUAGGUGUGGGGGACAUUCCACGUCCUCCGCGCCGUAGCUAACGCAUUAAGUGCCCCGCCUGGGGAGUACGGCCGCAAGGCUAAAACUCAAAGGAAUUGACGGGGGCCCGCACAAGCGGCGGAGCAUGCGGAUUAAUUCGAUGCAACGCGAAGAACCUUACCAAAGGCUUGACAUCCACCGGACUACCCCAGAGAUGGGGUUUCCCUUCGGGGCUGGUGGACAGGUGGUGCAUGGUGUCGUCAGCUCGUGUCGUGAGAUGUUGGGUUAAGUCCCGCACGAGCGCAACCCUCGUUCUAUGUU